RNAcentral lists this ribosomal RNA (497 nucleotides) under uncultured bacterium. Its description in RNAcentral is "partial 16S ribosomal RNA". It matches the Rfam family "Bacterial small subunit ribosomal RNA", at positions 28 to 507 of the family's 1533-position model. The record is from RNAcentral.
GAUGAACGCUGGCGGCGUGCCUAAUACAUGCAAGUCGAGCGAACGGACGAGAAGCUUGCUUUUCUGAUGUUAGCGGCGGACGGGUGAGUAACACGUGGAUAACCUACCUAUAAGACUGGGAUAACUUCGGGAAACCGGAGCUAAUACCGGAUAAUAUUUUGAACCGCAUGGUUCAAAAGUGAAAGACGGUCUUGCUGUCACUUAUAGAUGGAUCCGCGCUGCAUUAGCUAGUUGGUAAGGUAACGGCUUAACAAGGCAACGAUGCAUAGCCGACCUGAGAGGGUGAUCGGCCACACUGGAACUGAGACACGGUCCAGACUCCUACGGGAGGCAGCAGUAGGGAAUCUUCCGCAAUGGGCGAAAGCCUGACGGAGCAACGCCGCGUGAAUGAUGAAGGUCUUCGGAUCGUAAAACUCUGUUAUUAGGGAAGAACAUAUGUGUAAGUAACUGUGCACAUCUUGACGGUACCUAAUCAGAAAGCCACGGCUAACUACGUG